AGACGUCUACAUUAGAUACCCGUGUAGUCCCAGCCGUAAACUAUGCGCGUUAGGUGUAUCGGUGACCACGAGUCACCGAGGUGCCGAAGGGAAACCGUGAAACGUGCCGCCUGGGAAUUACGGUCGCAAGGCUGAAACUUAAAGGAAUUGGCGGGGAGCACCACAACGGGUGGAGCCUGCGGUUUAAUUGGACUCAACGCCGGGAAGCUCACCGGAUAAGACAGCGGAAUGAUUGCCGGGCUGAAGACUCUGCAUGACUAGCUG
Molecule: ribosomal RNA, 264 nt
Filed under: uncultured archaeon
Lineage: Archaea
Description: partial 16S ribosomal RNA
Rfam family: Archaeal small subunit ribosomal RNA
Source: RNAcentral